CUGGCGGCAGGCCUAACACAUGCAAGUCGAGCGGUAGAGAGAAGCUUGCUUCUCUUGAGAGCGGCGGACGGGUGAGUAAUGCCUAGGAAUCUGCCUGGUAGUGGGGGAUAACGUCCGGAAACGGACGCUAAUACCGCAUACGUCCUACGGGAGAAAGCAGGGGACCUUCGGGCCUUGCGCUAUCAGAUGAGCCUAGGUCGGAUUAGCUAGUUGGUGGGGUAAUGGCUCACCAAGGCGACGAUCCGUAACUGGUCUGAGAGGAUGAUCAGUCACACUGGAACUGAGACACGGUCCAGACUCCUACGGGAGGCAGCAGCGGGGAAUAUUGGACAAUGGGCGAAAGCCUGAUCCAGCCAUGCCGCGUGUGUGAAGAAGGUCUUCGGAUUGUAAAGCACUUUAAGUUGGGAGGAAGGGCAGU
RNAcentral lists this ribosomal RNA (418 nucleotides) under uncultured Pseudomonas sp. Its description in RNAcentral is "bacterial SSU rRNA". It matches the Rfam family "Bacterial small subunit ribosomal RNA", at positions 36 to 456 of the family's 1533-position model. Lineage: Bacteria; Pseudomonadati; Pseudomonadota; Gammaproteobacteria; Pseudomonadales; Pseudomonadaceae. The record is from RNAcentral.